This 279-nucleotide unclassified non-coding RNA is filed under the name Helotiales sp. RNAcentral's name for it is "partial contains 5.8S ribosomal RNA, internal transcribed spacer 2, and large subunit ribosomal RNA". The stretch from base 1 to 71 matches the Rfam family "5.8S ribosomal RNA", at positions 84 to 154 of the family's 154-position model. The record is from RNAcentral. Lineage: Eukaryota; Fungi; Ascomycota; Leotiomycetes; Helotiales.
GUGAAUCAUCGAAUCUUUGAACGCACAUUGCGCCCCUUGGUAUUCCGAGGGGCAUGCCUGUUCGAGCGUCAUUACAACCCUCAAGCAUAGCUUGGUGUUGGGGCCCUGCCGCGUAGGCAGCCCUUAAAAUCAGUGGCGGUGCCAUCUGGCUCUAAGCGUAGUAAAUUCUCUCGCUACAGGGUCUGGGUGAACGCUUGCCAUCAACCCCUAAUUUUCUAUGGUUGACCUCGGAUCAGGUAGGGAUACCCGCUGAACUUAAGCAUAUCAAUAAGCGGAGGA